This 197-nucleotide ribosomal RNA is filed under the name uncultured bacterium. RNAcentral describes it as "partial 16S ribosomal RNA". It matches the Rfam family "Bacterial small subunit ribosomal RNA", at positions 1304 to 1500 of the family's 1533-position model. The record is from RNAcentral.
GCUGCAACUCGCCUGCAUGAAGUCGGAAUUGCUAGUAAUCGCAGAUCAGCAUGCUGUGGUGAAUACGUUCCCGGGCCUUGUACACACCGCCCGUCACACCAUGGGAGUCGGUAACACCCAAAGUUGGUAGUCUAACCGCAAGGAGGACGCCGCCUAAGGUGGGAUUGAUGACUGGGGUGAAGUCGUAACAAGGUAUC